GUCCACGCUGUAAACGAUGAUGACUAACAGUCGGCGAUACACUGUCGGUGGCCAAGCGAAAGCGAUAAGUCAUCCACCUGGGGAGUACGACCGCAAGGUUGAAACUCAAAGGAAUUGACGGGGGCCCGCACAAGCGGAGGAACAUGUGGUUUAAUUCGAUGAUACGCGAGGAACCUUACCCGGGCUCGAACGGCAGGGGAAUCAUCCAGAGAUGGAUGAGUCUUCGGACUCCUGUCGAGGUGCUGCAUGGUUGUCGU
This 257-nucleotide ribosomal RNA is filed under the name uncultured bacterium. Its description in RNAcentral is "partial 16S ribosomal RNA". It matches the Rfam family "Bacterial small subunit ribosomal RNA", at positions 793 to 1055 of the family's 1533-position model. The record is from RNAcentral.